CUCGGGGAUUUCCAUGACCCAAAAGCAUGACUUUUAACCGUGGCCUAUCUGCGCGGCAUUUACUGAAAGACAUUUGCUUCAUUGCUCGUGGGCCAGAGGAAAUCUUGAUAACAACCCAUACAGAGAGGACGGUCAUUGCUCAGCCUGCCUGGAAAAGAUCAAAGACAGUUACCAACCAGAGGCAGAGCCCAUAAAGAUUAUUUGGUCCUUCAUCAUUCUGUGGAAACAGCAUCCAGUGCAUUCUGCACACAAUGGACUGAGCUGAGGCAUCUUCUGGUUUAGGUGGACUUGGCUGUCCAUAGCAACUGAAGUUCCAGUUGGAAUUAUUUCAGAAAGACUAAGUGUAUUUAUCAUAUGGAGACUUUAAUCCACAUUUGAGUCUGCUUCAAUCAAGACUUUCUAAGCCAUUUUCAACUCACUCCUGAGAUUAUGGAAAAUAAUUUGUGGGCCUUACACAUUUUUGAUUAUGUACUCACCAGAAGAAUUUCAAAAAGCUCUGCAUUCCCUUGCCCAUUUUUAACUUAACAUUAAAACAUAAAGCUGUUGUACAUGUCAGUAAUCUACAAAAUGUAAACAUAGAUAUUUUUGGAAAAAAUUGAUAGAACACUCUUUUUUUUUUUUUUUUUGAGACGGAGUCUGGCUCUGUCACCCAGGCUGGAGUGCAGUGGCGCGAUCUCGGCUCACUGCAAGCUCCGCCUCCCGGGUUUACGCCAUUCUCCUGCCUCAGCCUCCCGAGUAGCUGGGACUACAGGCGCCCGCCACCUCGCCCGGCUAGUUUUUUGUAUUUUUUAGUAGAGACGGGGUUUCACCGUGUUAGCCAGGAUGGUCUCGAUCUCCUGACCUCGUGAUCCGCCCGUCUCGGCCUCCCAAAGUGCUGGGAUUACAGGCUUGAGCCACCGCGCCCGGCCUAGAACACUCUUUUAAAUGUAUUUGAUGGAUCCUAAUACCAUAGUAAUUUGACAUACAUGAUCAUCCAUGAAGCAAUUAUCAAGUCAUCUUUAAUAAUUAAAAAUAUUUUAUCAUUGCCUUUUGUCAUUGAACAUUCCAAUUCCCCUACAGAAUGUUAAUACAUGUUUACACUGAACAUCUUUUAUGAUCUCUCUGUCACAUAUCUCUGAAACAAAUACAUAUUAUAAAUUGAAAUCCAUUUUUUUCUCUGGGAUCAUAAGGAUCUAAAUGUUAAAAAAAAAAAAAAAUUCUCUUUGGCCAGGCAUGGUGGCUCACGCCUGUAAUACCAGCACUUUGGGAGGCAAAGGUGGGUGGAUCAUCUAAGGUCAGGAGUUCAAGACCAGCCUGGCCAACAUGGUGAAACCCAUCUCUCCCAAAAAUACAAAAAUGAGCCAGGUGUGGUGGUGCACACCUGUAGUCCCAGCUACUUGGGAGGGUGAGGCAUAAGAAUCACUUGAACAGGGGAGGCAGUGGUUGCAGUGAGUCAAGAUAGUGCCACUGCACUCCAGCCUGGGACAGAGCGAGACUUCAUCUCAGAAAAAAAGAAAGAAAAAUCCUCUUUGAUUACAUUAUCAUUGAUAUUGUUUUCAUUACUUUUAAAACGUAAUUGGUCAAGACAAUAUAAAAAUAUUGUAAAUGUUGGCCGGCCGCGGUGGCUUAAGCCUGUAAUCCCAGCACUUUGGGAGGCCGAGAUGGACGGAUCACAAGGUCAGGAGAUCAAGACCAUCCUGGCUAACACGGUGAAACCCCGUCUCUAUUAAAAAACAUACAAAAAACUAGCCGGGUGAGGUGGCGGGCGCCUUAGUCCCAGCUACUCAGGAGGCUGAGGCAGGAGAAUGGCAUAAACCCGGGAGGCGGAGUUUGCAGUGAGCUGGGAUCCGGCCACUGCACUCCAGCCUGGGCGACAGAGCGAGACUCCGUCUCAAAAAAAAAAAAAAAAAUAUAUAUAUAUAUAUAGUAAGUGUUAAUAACUAUUACAAACACAAUUUAAGGGGGUUGCAGCUUGUAUUUUAAGCAAGUGUUUCAAGUGUGCAGUCAUGAAUAUUACCUAUAGCUAUAAUAUGUUAGGGUUCAGCACAGAUUCUGUUCCUUUUUUUCAUUUCUACAGAUUAUAAAUGCUGUAAACCCUAUUUCACAGAAAUAAGUAGAUAAGUAGAUAGGCCCAGAAGAAACAUUAUUAUGACAAUUUUUUCACAAUUUAAAAAAUAUGUUUUAUAUUUCAAAAGUCAUUUAGUGAUCUCUAGUCGAAAUAUGUAAUUACUUAUCAGUAGACAACUCAAUUUUGUUGAAAUUGGUGGUUUAGAAACCACUGAACUUUUGGUACCCAGGUAGGGUUGACAGAGUUAGCAAAUUAAAACAGAGAACACCUAGUUAAAUUUUUAUUUAAUAUAAAUAAUGAAUGCAUUUCUAGUAUAUGAAUGUAUUGUGCAAUAUUUGGUACCUAUCUAUACUAAUAAAUUAUUCAUUAGUUAUCUGAAAUUUAGAUUCAAUUUGGUGUUCUGUAUUUUACCUGGCAACCCUAUACCCAGAUAUUAGAGUUAUUCAUUUUCUCAACACUCAUGCCGAUCAAUUAUUUCAAAUCAUCCAGGAGGCUUCGACACCCAGAGAAAUAUACCAUUUUAAAACUCAUGGUAGGUGAGAGGUAAGCCUGUCUUUUAAGAGAAGACAGAGAACCAUUGUGAAAAGGGAGAUGAGAAGACAAAACAACCCUGGCAAACUUCACAAUUCUUGUUUUCAAGUAGAUCAGUUUUAGGAGAAACUACAUAUGAAAGUUGAGAGUCAGGCUAUUAAUUCCUUAAAACUAUUUGAGCUCCCACCUCCCUGUUGGUAAGUCUUUGUAAAAACCCAGGGGCACACUUACCCCAAUUUAAAGACUAUGGCUGGCCAGGCACAUUGGCUCACACCUGUAAUCCCAGCACUUUAGGAGGCCAAGGUGUGUGGAUCACCGGAGGUCAGGAGUUCGAGACCAGCCUGGUCAACAUGGCGAAAACUCGUCUCUACUAAAAGUACAAAGAUUAGCGGGGCAUGGUUGCGGGUGCCUGUAAUCGCAGCUACUUGAGAGGCUGAGGUAGGAGAAUUGCUUGAACCCGGGAAGCAGAGAUUACAGUGAGCUGAGAUCUCGCUACUGCAUUCCAGCCUGGGAGACAGAGCAAGACUCCAUUGCCAAAAAAGUAAAUAAAUAAAAACAAAUAAAGACCAUGGC
Molecule: long non-coding RNA, 3151 nt
Filed under: Macaca mulatta (Rhesus monkey)
Lineage: Eukaryota; Metazoa; Chordata; Mammalia; Primates; Cercopithecidae
Description: lncRNA (ENSMMUG00000050942.1)
Source: RNAcentral